AAACAACUUAAUUUCAACGUACUUGCAGCCUGGACGCAGUAUAAUAAAUUGAGUCUAUAAUCAAUUUGAUUAACAAUCUGACAUCACUCCAGUAAUUUUUUUGACAACAUUCAAAUGCUAAUUGUCUUUAUUCCACUACUGAAGAAGCAUGUCUCAAAUCACCUCAUAUUUCAAACAUUCAGCCUGACAAAAGAUAUGUUUUAUUAUUCCAUGCCUCACCAUUAAGCGAAGUAUUGCCAACACAUAUUAACAAAGGGGGGAACAUUUGGUUUUGAUUUUCAUAUUUACAAUCAAUUUACUUAACAUUUAGUAAUCAUCAUUAUUUAUGCAUGUAUUCACAAUUAUGUAGCAUUUAGUAAUCAUAAUUAUUCAUGCAACCAGCUGACAGUUGGAGGUGUGAUGUAUUUAAUGGAGAUGGAGGUGUGUUCUAGUGGGUCUGGACAGGUGUGAUGUAGUUAAUGGAGAUGGAGGUGUGUUCUAGUGGGUCUGGGCAGGUGUGAUGUAGUUAAUGGAGAUGGAGGUGUGUUCUAGUGGGUCUGGGCAGGUGUGAUGUAGUUAAUGGAGAUGGAGGUGUGAUGAACUUCAUGUUUGUAUGAUGUUGUCGUUUGUAUGUUUUGUAUUGUUUAUAAAAAGAUAAAUAAAAUAUUUUUCCCAA
Oncorhynchus tshawytscha (Chinook salmon) is the source of this 655-nucleotide long non-coding RNA. Lineage: Eukaryota; Metazoa; Chordata; Actinopteri; Salmoniformes; Salmonidae. The record is from Ensembl.